This 482-nucleotide ribosomal RNA is filed under the name uncultured bacterium. Its description in RNAcentral is "partial 16S ribosomal RNA". It matches the Rfam family "Bacterial small subunit ribosomal RNA", at positions 28 to 507 of the family's 1533-position model. The record is from RNAcentral.
GACGAACGCUGGCGGCGUGCCUAACACAUGCAAGUCGAACGGAACUGUUUUGAAAGCUUUCUUCGGAAUGAAUUUGAUUUAGUUUAGUGGCGGACGGGUGAGUAACGCGUGAGUAACCUGCCUUCAAGAGGGGAAUAACAUUCUGAAAAGAAUGCUAAUACCGCAUGACAUAUCGGAACCACAUGGUUUUGAUAUCAAAGAUUUUAUCGCUUGAAGAUGGACUCGCGUCCGAUUAGUUAGUUGGUGAGGUAACGGCUCACCAAGACCGCGAUCGGUAGCCGGACUGAGAGGUUGAACGGACACAUUGGGACUGAGACACGGCCCAGACUCCUACGGGAGGCAGCAGUGGGGGAUAUUGCGCAAUGGGGGCAACCCUGACGAAGCAACGCCGCGUGAAGGAUGAAGGUUUUCGGAUUGUAAACUUCUUUUAUUAAGGACGAAAAAUGACGGUACUUAAUGAAUAAGCUCCGGCUAACUACGUG